UACGUAGGGUGCGAGCGUUGAUCGGAAUUACUGGGCGUAAAGCGUGCGCAGGCGGUUCGCCAAGUCAGGUGUGAAAUCCCCGGGCUUAACCUGGGAAUUGCGCUUGAAACUAGCGGGCUUGAGUGUGGCAGAGGGGGGUGGAAUUCCACGUGUAGCAGUGAAAUGCGUAGAGAUGUGGAGGAACACCGAUGGCGAAGGCAGCCCCCUGGGUCAACACUGACGCUCAUGCACGAAAGCGUGGGGAGCAAACAGG
This 253-nucleotide ribosomal RNA is filed under the name uncultured bacterium. RNAcentral's name for it is "partial 16S ribosomal RNA". It matches the Rfam family "Bacterial small subunit ribosomal RNA", at positions 524 to 776 of the family's 1533-position model. The record is from RNAcentral.